AUGGGCGAAAGCCUGACGCAGCGACGCCGCGUGGGGGAUGAAGCUUCUCGGAGUGUAAACCCCUUUCGACCCGGACGAAUGACCCGCAAGGGUUUGACGGUACGGGUAUAAGAAGCCCCGGCUAACUACGUGCCAGCAGCCGCGGUAAUACGUAGGGGGCCAGCGUUGCUCGGAAUUACUGGGCGUAAAGCGCGCGUAGGCGGUUUUGCAAGCCAGAGGUGAAAUGCCUGAGCUCAACUCGGGAAUGGCCUUUGGGACUGCGAGGCUUUGAGGACUGGAGAGGUGAGUGGAAUUCCCAGUGUAGAGGUGAAAUUCGUAGAUAUUGGGAAGAACACCGGUGGCGAAGGCGGCUCACUGGCCAGUUUCUGACGCUGUAGCGCGAAAGCGUGGGGAUCAAACAGGAUUAGAUACCCUGGUAGUCCACGCCGUAAACGAUGAGUGCUAGGCGUCGGCAUGCAUGCAUGUCGGUGCCGCAGCUAACGCGUGAAGCACUCCGCCUGGGGAGUAC
Molecule: ribosomal RNA, 508 nt
Filed under: uncultured bacterium
Lineage: Bacteria
Description: bacterial SSU rRNA
Rfam family: Bacterial small subunit ribosomal RNA
Source: RNAcentral